RNAcentral lists this ribosomal RNA (586 nucleotides) under uncultured bacterium. RNAcentral describes it as "partial 16S ribosomal RNA". It matches the Rfam family "Bacterial small subunit ribosomal RNA", at positions 355 to 933 of the family's 1533-position model. The record is from RNAcentral.
UGGGGAAUUUUGGACAAUGGGCGAAAGCCUGAUCCAGCAAUGCCGCGUGUGUGAAGAAGGCCUUCGGGUUGUAAAGCACUUUUGUCCGGAAAGAAAUCCUUGGCUCUAAUACAGUCGGGGGAUGACGGUACCGGAAGAAUAAGCACCGGCUAACUACGUGCCAGCAGCCGCGGUAAUACGUAGGGUGCAAGCGUUAAUCGGAAUUACUGGGCGUAAAGCGUGCGCAGGCGGUUUGCUAAGACCGAUGUGAAAUCCCCGGGCUCAACCUGGGAACUGCAUUGGUGACUGGCAGGCUAGAGUAUGGCAGAGGGGGGUAGAAUUCCACGUGUAGCAGUGAAAUGCGUAGAGAUGUGGAGGAAUACCGAUGGCGAAGGCAGCCCCCUGGGCCAAUACUGACGCUCAUGCACGAAAGCGUGGGGAGCAAAUAGGAUUAGAUACCCUGGUAGUCCACGCCCUAAACGAUGUCAACUAGUUGUUGGGGAUUCAUUUCCUUAGUAACGUAGCUAACGCGUGAAGUUGACCGCCUGGGGGAGUACGGUCGCAAGAUUAAAACUCAAAGGAAUUGACGGGGUCUAGCUGUUUCCUG